Molecule: transfer RNA, 64 nt
Filed under: Xenostrobus securis
Lineage: Eukaryota; Metazoa; Mollusca; Bivalvia; Mytilida; Modiolidae
Description: tRNA-Ile
Source: RNAcentral
GGCACUAUGUGGGGGAUAAUCCAGCUACUUUGAUGUAGUAGAGAUCGAAUUUUUUCUAGUGUGA